UAAUCAUAAAGUUUGACCUCAAAUCAGGUAGGAUUACCCGCUGAACUUAAGCAUAUCAAUAAGCGGAGGAAAAGAAACCAACAGGGAUUGCCUUAGUAGUGGCGAAUGAAGCGGCAAGAGCUCAAAUUUGAAAUCUGGUAUCUUCGAUGCCCGAGUUGUAAUUUGAAGAAAGCAAUCUUGGAAUUGGUCCUUGUCUAUGUUCCUUGGAACAGGACGUCACAGAGGGUGAGAAUCCCGUGCGACAAGGAAUUCUUUUCUAUAUAAGAUGUUUUCGAAGAGUCGAGUUGUUUGGGAAUGCAGCUCUAAGUGGGUGGUAAAUUCCAUCUAAAGCUAAAUAUUGGCGAGAGACCGAUAGCGAACAAGUACUGUGAAGGAAAGAUGAAAAGAACUUUGAAAAGAGAGUGAAAAAGUACGUGAAAUUGUUGAAAGGGAAGGGUAUUCGAUCAGACUGGUAUUUAGCUAUCAUUGCUCCUUGUGGGUGGUGCUCUAGCCUUUUACUGGGCCAACAUCAGUUUUGGUGGUAAGAUAAUCGCAGUUGAAUGUGGCUCUUUCGGGAGUGUUAUAGCUUCUGUUGAUGUUACCUAUCGGGACUGAGGUCUGCGGCUUUGCCUAGGAUGUUGGCGUAAUGAUCCAAUA
This 636-nucleotide ribosomal RNA is filed under the name Wenyingozyma ramenticola. Its description in RNAcentral is "LSU rRNA". It matches the Rfam family "Eukaryotic large subunit ribosomal RNA", at positions 1 to 644 of the family's 3401-position model. Lineage: Eukaryota; Fungi; Ascomycota; Pichiomycetes; Pichiales; Pichiaceae. The record is from RNAcentral.